RNAcentral lists this ribosomal RNA (391 nucleotides) under uncultured bacterium. Its description in RNAcentral is "bacterial SSU rRNA". It matches the Rfam family "Bacterial small subunit ribosomal RNA", at positions 28 to 419 of the family's 1533-position model. The record is from RNAcentral.
GACGGACGCUGGCGGCGUGCUUAACACAUGCAAGUCGAGCGGUAAGGCCCUUUCGGGGGUACGACGAGCGGCGAACGGGUGAGUAACACGUGGGUGACCUGCCCUCAGCUCUGGGAUAAGCCUGGGAAACCGGGUCUAAUACCGGAUAUGACUCCAUGACGCAUGUUGUGGGGUGGAAAGCCUUGUGCGGCUGAGGAUGGGCCCGCGGCCUAUCAGCUUGUUGGUGGGGUGAUGGCCUACCAAGGCGACGACGGGUAGCCGGCCUGAGAGGGCGACCGGCCACACUGGGACUGAGACACGGCCCAGACUCCUACGGGAGGCAGCAGUGGGGAAUCUUGCGCAAUGGGCGAAAGCCUGACGCAGCGACGCCGCGUGAGGGAUGACGGCCUGG